GAUGAACGCUGGCGGCGUGCCUAAUACAUGCAAGUCGAGCGAACAGACGAGGAGCUUGCUCCUCUGAUGUUUGCGGCGGACGGGUGAGUAACACGUGGAUAACCUACCUAUAAGACUGGGAUAACUUCGGGAAACCGGAGCUAAUACCGGAUAACAUGUUGAACCGCAUGGUUCAACAGUGAAAGACGGUCUUGCUGUCACUUAUAGAUGGAUCCGCGCCGCAUUAGCUAGUUGGUAAGGUAACGGCUUACCAAGGCAACGAUGCGUAGCCGACCUGAGAGGGUGAGCGGCCACACUGGAACUGAGACACGGUCCAGACUCCUACGGGAGGCAGCAGUAGGGAAUCUUCCGCAAUGGGCGAAAGCCUGACGGAGCAACGCCGCGUGAGUGAAGAAGGUCUUCGGAUCGUAAAACUCUGUUAUUAGGGAAGAACAAAUGUGUAAGUAACUAUGCACGUCUUGACGGUACCUAAUCAGAAAGCCACGGCUAACUACGUG
This 497-nucleotide ribosomal RNA is filed under the name uncultured bacterium. RNAcentral's name for it is "partial 16S ribosomal RNA". It matches the Rfam family "Bacterial small subunit ribosomal RNA", at positions 28 to 507 of the family's 1533-position model. The record is from RNAcentral.